UUCAUUAAGGUCUUAAUGCUGUAAGGUACUUAAGCACAUGACUAAUUUUAAGCAAGUGGGUAGUCUAAUUGAUUUCAGUGGGAUUACUCACAUGUUUUAAGCUCGUCACAUGCUUAAGUACCUUGCUGGAUCUGAGCCUAAAACUCCAGUUGCCACUAGUUAUACAACUGUCUUUAAAUACAGAGUUAAAGAGUCAUUGGACCAGAGAGCAAGACUGACUCUGUAGCCUGGUGUUUGCACCUCUGCACCUGGGAGGUGCAAGACCCAUAGUCCAGUCUCUCUACUCCAUUGGCUCUUUAGUUAUUUAUAUACAGUGGAAUAUCUUCAGCAAGAAGGACUGAAGGGCCCACAUGUCAGAAUAUCUCCUAGUUGGAUAUCCCAGUGAAGAAAGCACUCUUCUGAAAGGUGUGGGAAAUCCCUGUUCACAUUUUUUCUCCUCUUCAGGCAGAGGGGAGAAUUGAAUGUGGGUGUCCCACAUGCCAAGGGAAUGCUCUAACCACUGGGCAAAAAUUAUAAGCUGUAAAAUCAAGUAUAAAAGGGAGCUCACUAAAUUCUAGAAGCUGUGUAUGAGGAUACAGAAAAGACAAGUACAAGUAUGCAGAAUGGUUCCCUCCUAGGAAAGGACAGGAUGCAGUGGUCCAUGAAGACAUUGCAUCUGAUAGUCUCCUGGAUGAAAUUUGCAGGAGCUAAAGAUUGAAAAGUCUCUGUGAUUGGCAAAAGCUGUGGAACUCCUUAUCAUCAGAGAUCAAGACGAGCCUAAGGCCAGGUCUACACU
Mauremys mutica (yellowpond turtle) is the source of this 775-nucleotide long non-coding RNA. RefSeq lists it as uncharacterized. The record is from RefSeq and is a predicted model, not a curated record. Lineage: Eukaryota; Metazoa; Chordata; Testudines; Geoemydidae. The transcript has 4 exons.